RNAcentral lists this long non-coding RNA (326 nucleotides) under Calidris pygmaea (Spoon-billed sandpiper). Its description in RNAcentral is "lncRNA (ENSCPGG00000003424.1)". Lineage: Eukaryota; Metazoa; Chordata; Aves; Charadriiformes; Scolopacidae. The record is from RNAcentral.
GUUAGGUCUAUUCCAUACUUCUCAUUGUUGAUUUUACAGGUUACCACAGAACUUUAGAGGUGGAAAUACUUGAGAAUACAGAGACACAUCCAGCACAGAUCCUUUUAACCACUGUUGUCGUUGUUCUGGUUCUUCAGCCCAAAUUUGGAUUUGGCUCGCUUGAUGCUGGACGAUUAAUGAAGGAAGCCCUAACUGGACAAAUGUUGGUCUCCUGAGACAAUGUGUUGUUGAUAACAGGUCUGAUUUGAGCAAGUCCAGUCAAAUUCAAUUUUAAUAGUAUUUAAAGGCACACGUAGGACACAUAUUACUGAGUUUUGGGCUGGUUU